Molecule: ribosomal RNA, 497 nt
Filed under: uncultured bacterium
Lineage: Bacteria
Description: partial 16S ribosomal RNA
Rfam family: Bacterial small subunit ribosomal RNA
Source: RNAcentral
GAUGAACGCUGGCGGCGUGCCUAAUACAUGCAAGUCGAGCGAACAGACGAGGAGCUUGCUCCUCUGACGUUAGCGGCGGACGGGUGAGUAACACGUGGAUAACCUACCUAUAAGACUGGGAUAACUUCGGGAAACCGGAGCUAAUACCGGAUAAUAUAUUGAACCGCAUGGUUCAAUAGUGAAAGACGGUUUUGCUCUCACUUAUAGAUGGAUCCGCGCCGCAUUAGCUAGUUGGUAAGGUAACGGCUUACCAAGGCAACGAUGCGUAGCCGACCUGAGAGGGUGAUCGGCCACACUGGAACUGAGACACGGUCCAGACUCCUACGGGAGGCAGCAGUAGGGAAUCUUCCGCAAUGGGCGAAAGCCUGACGGAGCAACGCCGCGUGAGUGAUGAAGGUCUUCGGAUCGUAAAACUCUGUUAUUAGGGAAGAACAAAUGUGUAAGUAACUAUGCACGUCUUGACGGUACCUAAUCAGAAAGCCACGGCUAACUACGUG